Molecule: ribosomal RNA, 253 nt
Filed under: uncultured bacterium
Lineage: Bacteria
Description: partial 16S ribosomal RNA
Rfam family: Bacterial small subunit ribosomal RNA
Source: RNAcentral
UACGUAGGGGGCAAGCGUUGUCCGGAAUCAUUGGGCGUAAAGCGCGCGUAGGCGGCCCGAUAAGUCCGCUGUGAAAGUCCGGGGCUCAACCCUGGAAAGCCGGUGGAUACUGUCGGGCUAGAGUCCGGAAGAGGCGAGUGGAAUUCCUGGUGUAGCGGUGGAAUGCGCAGAUAUCAGGAGGAACACCAAAGGCGAAGGCAGCUCGCUGGGACGGUACUGACGCUGAGGUGCGAAAGCGUGGGGAGCGAACAGG